RNAcentral lists this long non-coding RNA (6107 nucleotides) under Homo sapiens (human). Its description in RNAcentral is "HSALNT0088355". Lineage: Eukaryota; Metazoa; Chordata; Mammalia; Primates; Hominidae. The record is from RNAcentral.
GGCCCAGGACGCAAACAAGACAAAUUAGAUCCCUUCACUGCUGUUUGACUCUUGAAAUAAUGACAAAGAAACUAAGAACAGUUGUGGGGAUCUCACUCGACUACUCCUGCCAUGAGACUUUCCCCUUGAUUUGUAGCCUUCUAGCACUGUAAAGAUGCACUGAUUCCUUCAAACCUCGUCCUCCAGCACCCCCACCACCACCUGUCGCCCCACUAAUUCUCAGGGAAUUCAGAAUUCUUCCUAUAUUCUUCCACUAAGAAUUUUGCAUUAAUGAGCAGAGUUGGUUUUUUUGUAUUGCAAGCAAAGGAUCAUUGCUGAGACACCAUUUUCUAAGGGGAGGUGAUAAGCCAGCCAAGGGGAGAAUUGUAUGGAAUCCCCAAAGAACAAGAUGCAGACAACACUGUUUAGUGUGCCACAAUAAUUUAAUAGACUCACUGAGAAAUAAUAGCAUGACAAAAGGCCAGGUUAAUUUCCUCUGCUGCCCUUUCUGUGGAAAUGAUGAAGGUUCUUGGGCUCCUCUCUGAUCCACUGGUCUUAGAUACAUUGGCCUUCUCCUUUAUUUCCAGUACCCUCAACAGUUUCCAGUAAAGAGAAACAGCAAGGGAGGGUCUGUAGAAAGACAGACUGUCUUGAGGUUGGCUGAGGGGUAAAAGAAAUUUCCCAGAAAUUGCUCCUUUUCCUUCACAAACUGCCUAGAAUUCAGAUUUUGUCUCCUUCAAAGUUGCAUCUGGGAAAAUGUGUUUAUAUGCUUAUUCCACACAUUGCCAUCAUUGUAAUGAUUUUAGGGCUCCCUGUCUUGGAAUUGCCUUAAAAGUCCAUGUGAUACUUCUUAAAAAACUCUUUAAAAUCCCUUGAGAAUGGUUUCAUUUCUGGAGUUAGCCCCAUCUAAGCUAAUUUGACAUUCUGUCUGGUGAAUAGGGUUGGUAAUCAUAUUGGAAAUAAUAUUUUUGGUCAUAAGUGAAGUGUUACUAUAAACCAGUGAGAUUGCUUAUUGCUUUUUGGUAUGUGUGUGUCUUAUAUGGUCUGUAAAUGGUCUCUAAAGCCACUUCCAAAAUGCUUUCAGCAAUGGCAUCAGGGCUCAAAUAAUUGCACAGUUUCCAGAGAUGGCUGUUUUGAGGAUCAACAGUAAUUGAAUAAUAUAAUAAUAUUUAUUGGUAGUUUAUAAUACUUUUCAACAUAUUAAGCACUUUCCACAUGCUUUUAAAUAAGACCUGACAUUUACUAUGUCCCAGACACCGUGCUAAUUUUUUUACACAGAUUAUCUCAUGUAAUUCCUCAAAAUUAGGAAGGUAUAAUUAUUACCCACCACAUUUUAACAGAAAAGAUCUAACACAUCGGCGUGACUUUUCUAAGGUCACACGUAAAGUGGGUGAGCAGGACAGCCAGCCACGAAACCCCAAUUUUCUGACCCCUGAGUCUUGUUCCUCCUCCUUCACAUAGAUUUUGACUUGUAUGUCAAAACACAAAAACAAAACCUACCAAUGUUUGAGAUUUUUUUCUAUGGGAGGAUAAAACCUAGGUCUGUCUCUGUAGAAGCAAUAUUAGUCAAAUAACAGUCAGUCCACUGUCAGUGACUUCAGAGGUAUCUUACUUGUCAUUCAACUCUGAGGUCUCGGUUUCACGACCAGUUCUUUUCUAUUUUCCUUUUGGCUAUUUUGAAACAUGUCUUCUUUUACCAAUCUCAGCCCUCCACUUUCUCAUGCUGUGAAGUAUUCCCUAAAUUUCUGAAUUAUUUUCCCAAACCAUUUUCAGUCUCUAAGCUAACACUGUAGGCAGCUUCUUAGCUCUUUAGAAAAACAAUCUCACCUGCAUCUGCUCCAUUCUUCCUCUCUCCCUUCCUUUCUCUCUUCUUUAUUUUACUUAUUCAUUUAUCCAUUCACUUAUAAGCCCUCUGUUUUCUAUUAACUUAAUGCUUUUUGUCAUUCAACAGAACACAUUUUAGCUUUUUAAGUUCCACAAACCUCUAGAGUAAUGGUCCUGAAGCUUACUGGAGGUAUUUUAUUCAUCCUUGGGUCCUUGGAGCCUAAGCAUAGCCUUUCACAUACUAGGGACUAAAUGAGUAAAAGCAAAGCCAGGAAGAGGCAGAAAUCAAGUUCUCUAUGUGGACAGUUCUGUGUUCAAUAUGCAAACAUCAGAAACAUAUCCAGAAAAGAAUGUCAUAAACACCCAUCUGUUUUGUGUGGCAUAUAGAAUACAGUCAAUUAGAAAUACUUCCACAGGACCAACAGUGCUGAAAAGGAACCACAAAAAAACAAAACAAAACAAAACAAAAAUACAGAAGGAAGACGGCACACUAGAAAGCACUGGAUAUUUAAGCAUCAGAAAUAUCUCAAGGAAGUGCAUUCAGGACAUGGUGAGCUAGGAAACUUUUGCCUAGCAAUGGUAGCUAAGAGAUGAUAAUGGCAUGAAGAGACUUCACCCAAAGAGAAGAUUAAUAUUCCCAGUAGUUGGGGCCUGCCCUUUCAGGCCUUCGUGGUAAGUGGUCCCAGAAGCAAGGUGAGUGCUAACGCUGAAGCACUGCGUUACCCUGGUUCCUCCGAAACACCCCAUCUGCCUGACUUCUCACACACACCUGGGCCUUUCCUUGUCAAUGCUCUGCCCCUGGGCACUCUGGUGACAACGGGCACUUCAGAAGAGUCAGGAAGAGAAGUGUGGGAAUUGAAGAAUCCUAUACCCCCUGGCAGGAAUCCUUUCCUUAGCUUAUAUAACUAUAGAGAGUUUUUAGGGUUUCCCAAAGAGUUUCUGUGCAUCCACAGAUCUUAUCCCUCCUCUUGUCCUACCCUCCACUCAUAUACAUUCAGGAAUAGAUGGUAUAGAUUUGUUUUCUGUUCUCAAAAGAAAAAAGAAAAAGAAAGAGAGAGAGAGAGGGAGGGAAGGAGAGAGAAAAAAAAGAAGAGAGAUGUCCCUAGGGAAUAACUUUUGAGGACCAGCACAUCCAGCAGCUUGUGUAUGUGUGUACAUGCCAGUACAUUUUAGGAGAGGACUUGACAUUCUCCCUCUGAGUCAAUCCGUACUUUGUAAUUUUCUACCUAUGUAUCUUAAUCAAAUUAUUCAACUUGUCUAGCCCAGUUUUGCAUCUAUGAAGCAGGAAUAGCAACGGUGUCUACCUCUUUGGAUAUCAUAAGGUUUAAAAAGAUUACUCAUCUAGAGUGUUUGGUACAUUUCAAAUGUCAGUAAAUGUUAACUUUUAUUAAUAUUAGUAUUAAUAAUAUAUCCAACUGAUUUUUAAAGCAUUUUUUGAGAGAGGCUUUUUGAUAUAACAAAAGAAACGACGCUGUGAGUGCACUCCCUAUUUAUUUAGAGUUAAAUAAUUCAGUGUAACAUCCAACUAGUAAAAUUUGGGAAAUGAGCCUCAAAGGAAUUUUCAACAUUUUGCCCCACCACAGUCACUGUAUUUCUGAGUAUGCCUAGAAUAUUUUUUAAGGCUGAAAUGGGUGGGAAGCACUUUGUGGAGAAAGGGAGUGACUGAAGAAUGCAGUUUGUGUGGUUCUUUUAUUUUUUUUUUUUCUUUUAUUAGUUUAAGGAGACUUGGUACUGUGUCCAAGAAGACAAAAAGAAUGCAAUUACUAAACAUUUCCCAAAUUCCCUCCCUCCCACAUCCACAAAGGUAGAUGUGAUACUUGAUUUUCUUCUCAGAGACGAGCAAGCUGCUCUACUUAAAAUCUUGUAUGUAUUUUGAGAGAUAACAGAUGAUGACCCUGACGCUGAUGCCCAGGAUGACGAAGUCAGCACAGAUAAUAAUAUCACCUUGUAUCUUCUUUCACUAAUCGUGGAGCACUUUGCACAUAUGAUCGUGCUUAUCCUGGGCUGCACUGUUUGUUAGAUGAGGGUGUGGGUGUCACUAUAUAUACUUUCCAGAAAGACAGGUAUUUUCCAACAAGCUAUCAUCAACUCAAUGACAACACUGUACACAGGCAGCCCUCUCACCUGCUUUCUUCAGUAUUCCAUUAUUCUCCCAAAUUUGGCCAAUCAAGCCCAUUCACCUGGGAGUAUUUGUUAAUAAUUUAGAUCCUGAGCCUUAUCCUAGACAUUCAGUUCUGGAAAGUCUGGGAAUCAGUCAUUUUGUGGUUGUUCUCAGGAAGCCCUUGGGGAUUCCUUUGAUCAGAGACAGGUUUGGGAAGUAUUGCUCUUUUUAAACUCAGGGCAGCGGGGAAGGGAUGCUGGCAGGAGUGGACUUUGGUGACACUGAGAUCUUUUAUUCAUGUGGUAGCUUUUCUUACUCUGAGACAGAGUUUUGCUCUGUAGCCCAGGCUAGAGUGCAGUGGCAUGAUCAUGGUUCACUGCAGCAUCAACUUCCUGGGCAUAAAUGAUCCUCCUGAAUAGCUGGGAUUACAGGUGUGCACCACCAUGUCUAGCUAAUUUUUAAAAUUUUUUGUAGAGAUGGAGGUCUCACUGUGUUUCAGGCUUGCCUCAAACUCCUGGCCUCAAGCCAUCUUCCUCCCUUGCCUCCCAAAGUGCUGGAAUUACAGGUGUGAGCCACUGCACCCAGCCCUAAGGGUAGUUUUUCUGAUCAUCUGAAGGAUAAUACAACAUUUUUGUCAUAGGCUCAAUAAUCCAUAAAAUGCUGCCCUAUGUGAGAGAUAUUAUUAUUUUAAAAUACAGUUAAUGCUGGACUGUGGAACCAUAAUAUUGAAAUAUUGUUAGGGCGGGUCUCACCAGUGCCCUUUCUAGGCAAGGAGAGGCAAACUAACAACUGGGACCUGAGAAAUAACAUGUUUGUCACUAGAUUCAAUGUAAAAUGGUAAACCUAUCUACCUUUGCUAACUACUGGUCAACAACUAAAAGUAACUUAAGUUCAAUUCAAUAUACAUAAUUAAAGUGCAUUAAAUGUGUGCCUAUUGCCCACAUGGCACUUUAUUAUGUAUUCCUUAAAAUACAAACAUUUUUCCAUAUUAUUAAAAUUUUCUCAAAAAUAAAUUAUUUAAAAUCAUUUUAUUAUGGGAAUUUUUUAACCCCUACCUAAAUAGAAUUCACACAUUAUUUAGAAUUUGGAUUGUUUUUAACCCUUUAUGCACAUUCACAGUGCUGUAAUGAACAUGUGUAUAUAUACUUUCACUUUUUUUUUUUUUUUUUGAGAUGAAGUUUCUCUCUUGUUGCCCAGGCUAGAGUGCAAUGGUGCCAUCUCGGCUCACUGUAACCUCUGCCUCCUGGGUUCAAGCAAUUCUCCUGCCUCAGCCUCCAGAGUAGCUGGGAUUACAAGCACGUGCCACCACGCCUGGCUAAUUUUUGUAUUUUUAGUAGAGAUGGGGUUUCACCAUGUUGGCCAGGCUGGUCUUGAACUCCUGACCUCAGGUGAUCCACCCGCCUCAGCCUCCCAAACUGCUGGGAUUACAGGCGUGAGCCACCACACCUGGCUCAUACUUUCACUUUAAAAUUGUUCAUCCUCAGUCUCUGCUCUAAUCAACCCCCAAGUCCCUUCAAUCCUAUCUCUGAAGAGUUGUGAACCCAUUCCCUCAUCUCCACAGCCCCACUUCCACCCCAGUUCAGAGCUGCAUUAUCUUGAUCCUGUACAAGGCCUGUGACAGCCCCCUGAAGAGUAUGGGGCUGCCCCUAGUCUUUCUUCUUUUCAAUCUCUUUCUACACUGCUUCCAAUUACUGUCAUUCUGAAAUGUGUAUUUGUUCCUACGAUUGGAAAUGCUCAAUGAUUUUCCACUGUCCAUAAAAUAAAGUCCACUGUUAUUUAUGUAGGCCUCAAAUAUUAUUUCCUUAAUCUACCUCUGGAGCAUCCUGUUCAGUUGCUCCUAUACACCUUUAACUCAAUUUGUCCUUUACUGUUCCCAGUCCCCUGAUAUGGACAGGCAUUCCAUGCUUCCAUACCUUAUUCUUGCUGGUCUUUUGUUGUGAGGUAAUCCUCAAUCCUCCCCUAACCACAUGGAAAGCAUUAUGUUCUUCAAAUUUAUCAGGGAGCAUUUCCUAGGUAGAGCCACUGGCUCUCUCUCUCUCUAUAUAUGAAUACAUAUUCAUAUAUAUUAUAUAUUAAAUAUAUAAUAUAAUUAUUUAAUAUAUAUUUUAUAUAUUUAUUUUAUAAUAAACAUAUAUAUUUAUAUGAGAAAUAUAUUUAUUAUAUAAUAAGCAUAUAUAUGAGAAAUACAUUAUAUAAUAAAUAU